UGUCUACCAGCGUUUGCAAGCCGACUGCCCCUAGCAUUCGUCAGAGCAGUGAACGGUGUCAAGUUUGAAAAUGAGCAUGACUUGGUUCUCUAAAUAAGCAACUGCCCUCUAGCAUUGCUUUUGGUGAGAGGGGAAAACAACGACAAUGUUACGCGCCAGAAAAGCCCGUACUCCAUUUUCAACCCAUUUCGACCUCCUUCGAAAAAGACCCUUUUCCAGCACUAUCAAAGACAGCAACAAUAACAAGAACAAAAACAAAGACAACGUUGAUGGGAAGAUUGAAUCAAAUGUGAGCACUUGCAAUGAGUCAUAUCGUCAGCUUGACAAUCUCGAUUUCAUGACUGCUGCUAAGAUCCUCUUCACUCAGCCUCCAAAGAAGAAGAAAUUUGGGAUAGAUUUCCAUCUGGUACAGCUUUUCUUUGCCUGCAUGCCUUCCUUGGCUGUGUACUUGGUAGCACAAUAUGCACACUAUGAAAUGAGGAAAAUGGAAGCGGAGCUAGAGGAGAGAAAGAAGCAAGAAGAAGAAGCAAAAAGGAAGCAAGAAGAAGAGAAAAAGAAGCAAGAAGAAGAGGAGAAAGCUAAUGAGACAGAACAAAUUGCAACUGAUUCAGAGCUUUUGGAGGUAAAAGUGAGACUAGGUAAAUUAGAGGAGGCAGUAAAGGAAAUUGUUGUUGAAUCAAAGAAACAAUCAGCAGGCAGCAUAACCAAAAGUCAGCAAAAUGUUAGUGAACUAGGUAAAGACAAAAGCACAUCAGAGUCCAGCAGUUCCAUGGAGCAAGACAAGGUUACUAAACAAAAAUCCAAAACAGCAUGCCGCGAUCGAGGUAAAGUGGUUUCUGAUGCUUUCCAAAAGGAUCAGAAGGGUGAGAACCAGAUUGGAGGACCUUCUCAAGAUGCCAAAAGAUGAUGAAAGAGCUUUUCUUGUAUAAGAACAUAACUUUCAUUGAAUUGUUACGAGAUUUGUUUUUUUAGCUGAAACAAACAUUGCCCAAUGAUAUUAUGGGUGUUUGCCUCAUCGCAUUGGCAGAGAUGACAAAGACAGGUUAACAGUUUGCAUUGCUUGCAAGGGAUGUAGAUAUGUGUAAAUUGCAUACUUCUCUCACCAUAAGAAAUCCCAGCUUCUGAUAGAAUAGCCAAAAUCAGAGUCUCCUGGAGAUUGUAAGAUGAGUGGUUGCAGAGUAAGGCUGAGUGAGAAUGUGCUUCUCUUGCCCCCUCUGUCCGUGCCUGCAAAUGUAUAAGGUUAGAGCACGAGGCUUUACUGUGUAGAAGCAUGAGGAUGUGAAGUUCAAAGGAGAUCAUGGUGUAUUGGUUUAUGUUCAAGUGCAUAUAUUAGAGGCAGGGGAACGUUUAACAUUGUACGACUUUAACUUUGAUUUAUUUAUUGGUAUAGCUUGUGAAUAUUUUUUUCUC
This is a non-coding RNA of Durio zibethinus, 1410 nucleotides long. The record is from RefSeq and is a predicted model, not a curated record. NCBI's taxonomy places the organism in Eukaryota, Viridiplantae, Streptophyta, Magnoliopsida, Malvales, Malvaceae.